GAGUAUAGUUGCCUUAAAACACAACCACUUCUUAUUCCUCCUGAAUCUAUAGGCCGGCUGGCCGGUUCCGCUGGUUGGAGUUGGCAUGUCCACAGGGUAGGCUGUGUGACCUUCCCCUUGGGCUGGGCGCUGAGGCUUCGGCAGAGGGCUCCUCUCUGGCCUUCUGCUCUCUCCCCACCUCGGAGGCCCAUUCCCAGGGUUGCAGAGCUUUGCGUGCUAAGUUGCUUCAGUAGCGUCCAACUCUUUGCAGCCCUAUGGACUAUGGCCCGCCAGGCUCCUUUGUCCAAGGGAUUCUCCAGGCAAGAGUACUGGAGUGGGUGGCUGUGCCCUCCUCCAGGGCAUCUUCCCGACCCAGUGGUUGAUCCUGCAUCUCUUAUGUCUCCUGCAUUGGCAGGCAGGAUCUUUACCACUAGCACCAGCUGGGAAGCCCCAGCACCUUGAGAGGGAGCAGACAUGCACGGGACCCUUAAGGCCCAGGCUCAGACGAGCAUGGAGUGGUUUAUGCCAUAUUCUACUGGCCAAAACCAGUCAUAGGCCACUGCUGAUUCGUGGUGGAAAGUCACAUUGCGGAUACACGGACACAGGGAGGGUGAAGAAGGCUGGCCAGGUGUCACUGGUCUGCCGCUGCGCCCCGGGGAGACGGAGGGGCCCAGUCCCCGGGUCAGGACGCCCAGCUUGGCGGUGUCGGGCACUGCUUACCACUCAUCGCUUGGCCGGACACCUCUGGGGACCCCUGUGACCCUGCCUGAUGCUAAUGCCUCCCUCAGGCUGGAGGCGUCAUCUGAACCAGGCCAGCUCAGGAGCUGGAUUAGAAAUGUGAGUCUUGGCGUCAGCAUCAGCUGCCGAGUUCACCUGAGAUGCGCUGAGUGCAGGAGCUGCGGCUGGUUGCCGGGUGCACGGAGGAGUGGAGAAGACGGGCUGAGAAGGGAGUGAAGGCCGCGGGGGCACGCCGAGCGGGAGGACGGCGAGGCAGGGAGGGCCGUCCGGCUGCGGAGGGCCCGCGCCUCCAGCCUGUCCUUCCAGCGCCGUUUCUUCCGGGCCAGGGUGCGCUCCACUCCCCACCCGGCCACCGUACCUCCCGCACCCUCUAUGCUCAGGGAGCCGCAAAGCUCCUUCAGAUCCAGAUCGGAAUCCACGGCGGUGUCAGCCUGUGCGUGGUUAUGAUCCAGACGGACCCGGAGAGAAGGGCCGCCCUGGCCUGGAUCACACUGUGCCGAGCCUGGCAUCCCCGGGCACCCAGAGCUCACCCCUAGACGCAGGACGGAAGGGAGCGCCGUGCCCCCACAGCAAGGGGCAGGGGGAGGCCCAGGAGAGACCCCGUCCCGAGCCGGGGAGAGGGAGGCAGCCUGAGGGCCUGGGCGCAUCCUGGCUCCUCCAAUUCCUGCCGCCGGUCCUCAGACGGGACACCCAGCUCGCCGUCUCCCGAAGGACACGCUCGUCUUCCUCUCGGGCGGUGGGGGCUUCAGGCUGCGGCUGGUUCCCCAGAUGGCAGCUCGCCCACCUUCCUGUGGGAAACCUGACUGGAGACACAGGCGCCUGGCUCACGCGGAGCCCGCAGAGGGCGGUGUGAGCGGAGGCUUCCCCGCAGGAGCCCCAGCGCCAGCCCUGCGUGGCAGGCAGGACAGCCCCCCGCUGGACGCCCACCUCCUACUCUCCCAAACCUGAGACUCGGGUCACGCUGCAACAGGAGCUACGGCGGAAGGUGGACCCAGUGGCUGAGAUGGGAAACGACCCUGGAUUAUCCCGGCGGCUCCAGUGUGAUUGGAAGGAAACCUCACGGUGGAGGGGGGACGGGAGAGCCAGUGUCUGUGACUCAGCGUGAGAGAGGCCAUCGCUGGCUGUGGACGGACGGAGGGGCCGUGAGCCAAGGAAUGCGGGUGGUCUCCAGAAGGUGGGAAAGGCAGGAAGCGGGUUCUCCCCCCCUGGAGCCUCUGGAAGGACGCAGCGCUGCUGACAUGUCAACCACAGCCUCGGGAGACCCCUGUGGACCCCUGACCCCCAGACUGUAGGGUAAUAAAUGUGUGUUGUUUUAAGCCA
This 2037-nucleotide long non-coding RNA is filed under the name Bos indicus x Bos taurus (hybrid cattle). RNAcentral's name for it is "lncRNA (ENSBIXG00005008860.1)". Lineage: Eukaryota; Metazoa; Chordata; Mammalia; Artiodactyla; Bovidae. The record is from RNAcentral.